Non-coding RNA from Podarcis lilfordi (Lilford's wall lizard), 65 nucleotides. Lineage: Eukaryota; Metazoa; Chordata; Lepidosauria; Squamata; Lacertidae. The record is from the annotation of a GenBank genome assembly.
GGGCUCAGUGGCAAAGCAUUUGCUUUACAUGCAGAAGGUCUUGUGUUCAAACCUUGGCAUCUCCA